UGGGGAAUUUUGGACAAUGGGCGAAAGCCUGAUCCAGCAAUGCCGCGUGUGUGAAGAAGGCCUUCGGGUUGUAAAGCACUUUUGUCCGGAAAGAAAUCCUUGGCUCUAAUACAGUCGGGGGAUGACGGUACCGGAAGAAUAAGCACCGGCUAACUACGUGCCAGCAGCCGCGGUAAUACGUAGGGUGCAAGCGUUAAUCGGAAUUACUGGGCGUAAAGCGUGCGCAGGCGGUUUGCUAAGACCGAUGUGAAAUCCCCGGGCUCAACCUGGGAACUGCAUUGGUGACUGGCAGGCUAGAGUAUGGCAGAGGGGGGUAGAAUUCCACGUGUAGCAGUGAAAUGCGUAGAGAUGUGGAGGAAUACCGAUGGCGAAGGCAGCCCCCUGGGCCAAUACUGACGCUCAUGCACGAAAGCGUGGGGAGCAAACAGGAUUAGAUACCCUGGUAGUCCACGCCCGUAAAACGAUGUCAACUAGUUGUUGGGGAUUCAUUUCCUUAGUAACGUAGCUAACGCGUGAAGUUGACCGCCUGGGGAGUACGGUCGCAAGAUUAAAACUCAAAUGAAUUGACGGGGUCAUA
RNAcentral lists this ribosomal RNA (577 nucleotides) under uncultured bacterium. Its description in RNAcentral is "partial 16S ribosomal RNA". It matches the Rfam family "Bacterial small subunit ribosomal RNA", at positions 355 to 923 of the family's 1533-position model. The record is from RNAcentral.